UACGUAGGUGGCAAGCGUUGUCCGGAUUUAUUGGCGUAAAGAGCUCGUAGGCGGCUUGUUGCGUCGACUGUGAAAAACCCGCCGGCUUAACUGCGGGCUUGCAGUUGAUACGGGCAGGCUAGAGUGUGGUAGGGGGAGAUCGGAAUUCCUGGUGUAGCGGUGAAAUGCGCAGAUAUCAGGAGGAACACCGGUGGCGAAGGCGGAUCUCUGGGCCAUUACUGACGCUGAGGAGCGAAAGCGUGGGGAGCGAACAGG
This 255-nucleotide ribosomal RNA is filed under the name uncultured bacterium. Its description in RNAcentral is "partial 16S ribosomal RNA". It matches the Rfam family "Bacterial small subunit ribosomal RNA", at positions 524 to 776 of the family's 1533-position model. The record is from RNAcentral.